GAUGAACGCUGGCGGCGUGCCUAAUACAUGCAAGUCGAGCGAACGGACGAGAAGCUUGCUUUUCUGAUGUUAACGGCGGACGGGUGAGUAACACGUGGAUCACCUACCUAUAAGACUGGGAUAACUUCGGGAAACCGGAGCUAAUACCGGAUAAUAUUUUGAACCGCAUGGUUCAAAAGUGAAAGACGGUCUUGCUGUCACUUAUAGAUGGAUCCGCGCUGCAUUAGCUAGUUGGUAAGGUAACGGCUUACCAAGGCAACGAUGCAUAGCCGACCUGAGAGGGUGAUCGGCCACACUGGAACUGAGACACGGUCCAGACUCCUACGGGAGGCAGCAGUAGGGAAUCUUCCGCAAUGGGCGAAAGCCUGACGGAGCAACGCCGCGUGAGUGAUGAAGGUCUUCGGAUCGUAAAACUCUGUUAUUAGGGAAGAACAUAUGUGUAAGUAACUGUGCACAUCUUGACGGUACCUAAUCAGAAAGCCACGGCUAACUACGUG
RNAcentral lists this ribosomal RNA (497 nucleotides) under uncultured bacterium. RNAcentral describes it as "partial 16S ribosomal RNA". It matches the Rfam family "Bacterial small subunit ribosomal RNA", at positions 28 to 507 of the family's 1533-position model. The record is from RNAcentral.